AACCAGGAGAGAAAGAGGGAAAAGAAAUAAGAACCCUAGCUGAAACAUUUGGGGAAAAUCAAGAGAAAUCAAGAAAUCAAGCAUUAAAAAGGUAAAUUUCAUUGAUUUUCCUUGUGAUUUUCACUACCCAUGCAUUUUUUCUCAUUUCCAUGCAAAAUUAGAAAGUGGGUAUGGACACCCAUGCUGGCCAAACCUCCAUGGAUGAGUUUUGAGUUUGAGUUUUGGUUGAUUUUAAUUGAAUUAAGUGAUUUUUGUUAGGUUAUAUUGAAAUAUAGCAAAAAUAAGCUAGAGAAAUAAUUUUCUCCCAUUGAAACCCAUUAUGCCGAAUUUUCUAGGGGAAUAUUGGCUGCUGAUCUUGAUGUUUAUUUGAGGAAUUAUGAUGAAUAAUGAUGAAUUAUGAGCCUAGAAAACUAAUGGGAAUUUUUAGAGCAAAAAUAUAAAUUUUUACCCACUAGGGGUAUUUUUAUAAUUUGCUAUCGGGACUGAUAAUUUGCACCACACUGAGGGACAUUAAGUCAAUUUGGGUGUAAUUGAGGUAUAAAAACUGAAAAAAAUUAAUUUGGAGUUUAAACAGACGCGUAUAUCGAUUUAUCAGGUAAAAGAUCGAAAUAGGCUAACACCGUGUUUAGGCAAAAUUUAGACAUUUUGCUCUUCAUAUCAUGCAUUAGUAGUAUAAAUUAGUUUAUUUUGGUUUAGUACCAAAGUAGUAAACCUCUUAAUUGUGCAAUUUGUCAAGGUGGCGAAUCCUCUAGCAAGGGCAAAGAAAUCGCACCCGAUGAGUAAUAGUUGGAGUACCCGAAUUUAGUUUUCAAAAACUGUGAGUAAACUUAUUAUCGUCUUAAUUAUCUAGAGUAGUUUUAUACAAUUGUGUGAUUUUAUAGAAAAUGGGUUUAAAUGGUAUAUUACUGUGUUUUAGGAGAAAUUGUGAUUUUAUAAAAUGAUUUUAUAGAUUUUCUGGAAAAUUGAAUACUAGUUUUGAAAAUAGAAUGAUUGAAAACUACCCGCUUGUGUUAUAAAUUGUGUUUUAAAUUAUAUGGCUUAUAGCAAUAUGUGAGCAUGAAUGGCAAAGUCUGUAUUUGUAUCAAAAUUAUAUAUACUAUGUAUUCAGCCUUGAGAGGCUAGAUUUCGAUAAAUUGUCAUGUCAUUCAUAUAAGGAUUUUAUAAAUCAAGUGGUAGAUAAAAUAAAGAUUAGCUACUGCAGUGGCGGGGUUCCGUGGACCAGCCUAUUAGAGGGGCAUGAUAAACUCCUUUAUAUUCUCACCUCGAUCGUAAAGGCGCGUAGGGUAUCUCCUGAGAUGGGCUUUUUGAGUGCACUUCACGUGGACCACCACGUGAGAGUGAGACUCAGCCAACACCAAGGCAUGGCUAGAAUUUUUGAUGUAAAGACAUUUAACAGCCUUGGUGGACUCGGUCAGAUGCCUAGGUCAAGGCAUCCCCGGGAAUGAUUUUGGCAGGAGCCAAGUUUUGUGAGAUAUAUAAGCCAUGUUGAUUAAUUGAGUAAACUGAAUAUUCAUGUUAUGAAACAUAUAUUGGAAAAGAAUAUUUUAAUUUGUUUCCAUUUACUCACCUUUAGAUGGUUUAGAUGGUAUCUGUUUACUCACUGGGAUUAUGUAAUCAUAAUCUCACCCCUUUUCCUAUCCAUUUUGCAGGCUCAGGAUAGUUUGUUGAUAGUUGAUUAAGACGAGAAUUAAUCUUGGAGUUGCAUCGUAGAAAGUAAGAGUUCGUAGCCCUACACCUUCUUAGUCAGUUAGGAGCCCACGUGUUAUUGUAAAAGAAAUUUUAUACUUCAGUUAUCUGCUUUAAAGUACAUAUGAAUAUAUUUAGCUUUUACACUACAGAAAUAAAUUACGAAUUUCUCUAUAAAUAUUAUUAUAUUUUUAUUUAGAAAAUAGAAUAUUUUAUUAAAUAUUAUUAUUUUAUUCAAACAAUUAUAAUUUCAUUUCAAAUAAUUAUUUUAGACAUCUAAAUUUACUUUUAAUUAUGAAAUAUGUGUUUUUCGCCCACACACUAUGUUUUUGGUGGGUUUUGGUAUUUUCGAAGAAAAAUGACGAAAAUGUCCCUGUGAGCCAGAAAAUAAUAUUUUAUUGUUUUGAUUUGAAAACGACUAUUGAUUUCUUGAAACGUGAGAUUUAAUAAUUGUCGCUCACCGGGGAGAUACAGAAGCUGAUACGAGAGCCUUGCGAGGUUUCGAUUGGCAUUCAGGGUGAAAAAUGUCUGUCGAGGUUUUGCGACGGUUGUCACGAGCUCAAUGGGAGUUUCGAGUUGUGACAAACUACUUCAUUCUAGUCACCAAUAAAAUGUCCCAAUGAUUGGGUGACAUGGAAUGAUUCACCAUAUGUACCCCAUAUUGUGUACACAUCAGUAAACCUUUUUCAAAAUAAGUAUUCUUGAACCUUCAACAACCAACAAUUUGCUAUUCAUACACUGAGAGCAAGAACAUCUAAUCUUAUUCUCAAUCACAUAUCUUGAUUGACUGAACGCAAAUGAAAUAAAUUCAUCUACGCCAUUCAGAAAUUAUGUCCCAAGAAAUCCACUCGAAUCGACUUGAGAAUACAUCCAACUCCUAUCUCG
This 2571-nucleotide long non-coding RNA is filed under the name Theobroma cacao (cacao). RNAcentral describes it as "long non-coding RNA (TCAC_LNC005293)". The record is from RNAcentral. Lineage: Eukaryota; Viridiplantae; Streptophyta; Magnoliopsida; Malvales; Malvaceae.